GGCGUAGGGGGCCAGCGUUGUUCGGAAUUACUGGGUGUAAAGGGUUCGUAGGCGGUGUGGCAAGUCGGGAGUGAAAUCUCUGGGCUCAACCCAGAGACUGCUUCCGAAACUGCUGUGCUUGAGUGUGAGAGAGGCUCGUGGAAUUGCAGGUGUAGCGGUGAAAUGCGUAGAUAUCUGCAGGAACACCCGUGGCGAAAGCGGCGAGCUGGAUCACUACUGACGCUGAGGAACGAAAGCUAGGGGAGCAAACAGG
This 253-nucleotide ribosomal RNA is filed under the name uncultured bacterium. RNAcentral's name for it is "partial 16S ribosomal RNA". It matches the Rfam family "Bacterial small subunit ribosomal RNA", at positions 524 to 776 of the family's 1533-position model. The record is from RNAcentral.